GCAGACCAACGCUAAUCUCGUCGGAGCCUCCGACCAGCUCUAGUGUCGCCGGGGGCCGCCGCGAUGAAGCCUCUCGACCGCGGCGGGGAAGCGGUUGGUGGAAUCUUCCUCGGCGUUGACUUCACGAAGCCGGCCGGCCGCCCGGCACGUUGUCUCCCUCGGCGCACUAAGGGGCGUGGGGCUCAUGGUGUGCUUCCAGUUUAAGCUCUGGUGGAUGGCGCAACGGAUAGGCGAGGAGCAUGCAGGUGUUAUCGGUAUCGAUUUCAACAAAGAUCGAUUACUGGAUCUUAACGAAGAUAUGAUGCAAUCAGAGCAGCAAGCCUUGGAUGCGCCAGCAACGAAAGAGGAUUUGGAAACGGGCUCACUGGGCCAACAAGACGGAAUGGGAAGUGAAUCAAGCAAACCAUAUGGGGGGCAGAACAAAUUGUUCGUAUACGUGCAGAGGAACGGCGAUGACGACUAAACGGCAGCCAGAUCUCGUGCAUUGUGUUGAAUCUUGCUUAGCAAAGCUGCUGCGGCUGGAUCUGGCAUCCAGGCCAAGUGCUCCAUGUGUUCACCCUGCACUGAAGCUCGAGCUCCUGCCUCUGGGUGCGCAAGCUGCAGUGCUUCCUUGAGGGAGCAUCACUUGUUCCUGUGCAUUGCCUCAAUAAGCAGUAACCGGUGGAGGGCGAUGCUAGGCAUCACAGCACAAUGCCGGCCAAGAGUUGGAUCAAGUCAGGUGCGCAAGGGAAGCACUCGACCUCUCAUCCAGCCCAACCUGCAGUCCUCCACAUAUGUCAUAGAGCAAAGAGCACGUGUGUAACAAUUACUAUUAUUUCAUGUUUGAUAACAUAUUUGCGUCACCCGCAAAUUUUGGUAAAUAUCUUUUGCAUAGAUAUUGAUUAAAAGAUAAUUAAAUAUUUUUAGCAUCCAAAA
Molecule: long non-coding RNA, 915 nt
Organism: Panicum virgatum (switchgrass)
Lineage: Eukaryota; Viridiplantae; Streptophyta; Magnoliopsida; Poales; Poaceae
Exons: 4
Source: RefSeq, a predicted model, not a curated record